Molecule: ribosomal RNA, 254 nt
Filed under: uncultured bacterium
Lineage: Bacteria
Description: partial 16S ribosomal RNA
Rfam family: Bacterial small subunit ribosomal RNA
Source: RNAcentral
UACGUAGGGAGCAAGCGUUGUUCGGAUUUACUGGGCGUAAAGGGCGCGUAGGCGGCAGAUCAAGUCAGCUGUGAAAUCUCCGAGCUUAACUCGGAACUGUCAGCUGAUACUGUUUUGCUAGAGUGCGGAAGGGGCAAUCGGAAUUCUUGGUGUAGCGGUGAAAUGCGUAGAUAUCAAGAGGAACACCUGAGGUGAAGACGGGUUGCUGGGCCGACACUGACGCUGAGUGCGCGAAAGCCAGGGGAGCAAACGGG